Molecule: non-coding RNA, 75 nt
Organism: Danionella cerebrum
Lineage: Eukaryota; Metazoa; Chordata; Actinopteri; Cypriniformes; Danionidae
Source: the annotation of a GenBank genome assembly
GUCUCUAUGGCUCAAUCGAUUUAUCGCGUAUGGCUGUUAACUGAAAGGUUGGUGGUUCAAGCCCACCCAGGGACG